AGGGCUAGCGUCGGAAAAUGUGAGUACUGGGGGUAGAGCACUGAAUGGGCUAGGGGGCAUAGCGCUUACCGAACCUUAUCAAACUCCGAAUACCAGAUACUAUCAGUCCGGCAGUCAGACUGCGAAAGAUAAGUUCCGUAGUCAAAAGGGAAACAGCCCAGAUCGUCAGCUAAGGUCCCAAAGUGUAAGUUAAGUGGAAAAGGAUGUGGGAUUUCUAAGACAACUAGGAUGUUGGCUUAGAAGCAGCCACUCAUUAAAAGAGUGCGUAAUAGCUCACUAGUCAAGAGAUCCUGCGCCGAAAAUGUCCGGGGCUCAAACUUACCACCGAAGCUACGGGUUCACACAUUAGUGUGAGCGGUAGAGGAGCGUCGUAAUCGGGCUGAAGUCGUACCGUAAGGAGCGGUGGACUGAUUACGAGUGAGAAUGUUGGCAUUAGUAGCGAGAUGUGGGUGAGAAUCCCACAGGCCGAAUACCUAAGGUUUCCUCAGGAAGGUUCGUCCGCUGAGGGUUAGUCGGGACCUAAGCUGAGGCCGAAAGGCGUAAGCGAUGGACAAUCGGUUGAUAUUCCGAUACCACUAUUAUCGUUAUUAUCGAUGGUGUGACGGAGAAGGAUAGGAUGUGCUAGCUAUUGGAUGCUAGUCUAAGCGUUUAGGGAGUUAGGAUAGGCAAAUCCGUUCUAACAAUUCUGAGGCGUGAUGGGGAAGGUUCUAAGGAACCGAAGUAUCUGAUUCCAUGCUUCCAAGAAAAGCAUCUAGAAAGAGAAAUAGUGCCCGUACCGCAAACCGACACAGGUAGGUGAGGAGAGAAUCCUAAGGCCGGCGGAAGAAUUGCAGUUAAGGAACUAGGCAAAUUGACCCCGUAACUUCGGGAGAAGGGGUGCCUGCGAGAGCAGGCCGCAGAGAAUAGGCACAAGCAACUGUUUAACAAAAACACAGGUCUCUGCUAAAGCGAAAGCUGAUGUAUAGGGGCUGACGCCUGCCCGGUGCUGGAAGGUUAAGGGGAACACUUAGCGUAAGCGAAGGUGUGAACUUAAGCCCCAGUAAACGGCGGCCGUAACUAUAACGGUCCUAAGGUAGCGAAAUUCCUUGUCAGGUAAGUUCUGACCCGCACGAAUGGCGUAAUGACUUGUGCACUGUCUCAACUGCAAAUCCGGCGAAGUUGUAGUGCGAGUGAAGAUGCUCGCUACCCGCGAUUGGACGGAAAGACCCCGUAGAGCUUUACUGUAGCUUAGCAUUGAAUUUCGGUAUUGUCUGUACAGGAUAGGUGGGAGACUGGGAAAUCAGAGCGUCAGCUUUGAUGGAGUCAUCCUUGGGAUACCACCCUGAUAGUACUGGAAUUCUAACUGGAUGCCAUGAAUCUGGUGACAGGACAUUGUUAGGUGGGCAGUUUGACUGGGGCGGUCGCCUCCUAAAAAGUAACGGAGGCGCCCAAAGGUUCCCUCAGAACGGUCGGAAAUCGUUCGUAGAGUGCAAAGGCAUAAGGGAGCCUGACUGCGAGACCUACAAGUCGAGCAGGGACGAAAGUCGGGCUUAGUGAUCCGGUGGUACCUCGUGGGAGGGCCAUCGCUCAACGGAUAAAAGCUACCUCGGGGAUAACAGGCUGAUCUCCCCCAAGAGUUCACAUCGACGGGGAGGUUUGGCACCUCGAUGUCGGCUCGUCGCAUCCUGGGGCUGAAGUAGGUCCCAAGGGUUGGGCUGUUCGCCCAUUAAAGCGGCACGCGAGCUGGGUUCAGAACGUCGUGAGACAGUUCGGUCCCUAUCCGUCGCGGGCGCAGGAAAUUUGAGAAGAGCUGUCCUUAGUACGAGAGGACCGGGAUGGACCGACCUAUGGUGUACCAGUUGUUUCGCCAGAAGCAUAGCUGGGUAGCUAAGUCGGGACGGGAUAAACGCUGAAAGCAUCUAAGCGUGAAGCCUCCUUCAAGAUGAGAUUUCCCAUAGCGUAAGCUAGUAAGACCCCUUGA
Molecule: ribosomal RNA, 1960 nt
Filed under: Clostridium botulinum E1 str. 'BoNT E Beluga'
Lineage: Bacteria; Bacillati; Bacillota; Clostridia; Eubacteriales; Clostridiaceae
Description: bacterial LSU rRNA
Rfam family: Bacterial large subunit ribosomal RNA
Source: RNAcentral